GGACUGUGGUUUAGUGGUAUGACACCUGCUUUGCAUGCAGGAUGUCCUGGACUCAAUCCCUGGUGUCUCCA
Molecule: non-coding RNA, 71 nt
Organism: Podarcis lilfordi (Lilford's wall lizard)
Lineage: Eukaryota; Metazoa; Chordata; Lepidosauria; Squamata; Lacertidae
Source: the annotation of a GenBank genome assembly